ACGUAGGGGGCGAGCGUUAUUCGGAAUUACUGGGUGUAAAGGGUAUGUAGGCGGCCCUUCAAGUCGCGUGUCAAAGUCCAGUGCUCAACGCUGGGUGUGCGCGCGAUACUGACGGGCUUGAGUGCUGGAGAGGUGAGCGGAAUUCCCGGUGUAGAGGUAAAAUUCGUAGAUAUUAGGAGGAACACCGGUGGCGAAGGCGGCUUCCUGGACAGUUACUGACGCUGAGACGCGAAAGCGUGGGGAGCAAACAG
This 251-nucleotide ribosomal RNA is filed under the name uncultured prokaryote. RNAcentral's name for it is "partial 16S rRNA". It matches the Rfam family "Bacterial small subunit ribosomal RNA", at positions 525 to 775 of the family's 1533-position model. The record is from RNAcentral.